AUACGGAGGGUGCAAGCGUUAUCCGGAAUCAUUGGGUUUAAAGGGUCCGCAGGCGGUCAAUUAAGUCAGAGGUGAAAUCCCGUCGCUCAACGACGGAACUGCCUUUGAUACUGGUUGACUUGAGUUAUACGGAAGUAGAUAGAAUGUGUAGUGUAGCGGUGAAAUGCAUAGAUAUUACACAGAAUACCGAUUGCGAAGGCAGUCUACUACGUAUAUACUGACGCUCAUGGACGAAAGCGUGGGGAGCGAACAGGAUUAGAUACCCGGGUAGUCC
Molecule: ribosomal RNA, 274 nt
Filed under: uncultured bacterium
Lineage: Bacteria
Description: partial 16S ribosomal RNA
Rfam family: Bacterial small subunit ribosomal RNA
Source: RNAcentral